UCUCUGUUAGUAUAUCGGUUAGUACACGCGCCUGUCAUUGUACCGACCGCGCGAAAGCGGGGUUCGACUCCCCGACAGAGAG
This 82-nucleotide transfer RNA is filed under the name Dichomitus squalens. RNAcentral describes it as "tRNA-Asp". It matches the Rfam family "tRNA". Rfam says of the family: Transfer RNA (tRNA) molecules are approximately 80 nucleotides in length. Their secondary structure includes four short double-helical elements and three loops (D, anti-codon, and T loops). Lineage: Eukaryota; Fungi; Basidiomycota; Agaricomycetes; Polyporales; Polyporaceae. RNAcentral also lists the same sequence under 1 other name. The record is from RNAcentral.